This 693-nucleotide ribosomal RNA is filed under the name Triticum aestivum (bread wheat). RNAcentral describes it as "partial small subunit ribosomal RNA". The record is from RNAcentral. Lineage: Eukaryota; Viridiplantae; Streptophyta; Magnoliopsida; Poales; Poaceae.
AUGCUUUGGGAUGACCUCCUUGUGGAUGUUUCCUGCAUCAACACCACGGCGUUCUGCCUUUCCGCCAUGGUCAGUGUGCGAGGGACCGACAUGCUCUUCAAGAUCACCUCCGUCUACGGUCCCUCAGACUCCUCUUGCAAAGAUGCCUUCUUUGCCGAGCUGCUGGCAGAGAAACCACCGACCGGGGUGGCCUGGCUUGCCACAGGCGAUUUCAACCAAAUUUACAGGGCGCGAGAUAAAAAUAAGAGAAAUGUCAACCGCGGCAGGAUCAAUCGUUUCAGGGCAACGCUCCACAGUUGUGAGCUCAAAGAGAUCCACCUUCAAAACCGAAGAUUCACUUGGAGCAACGAGAGGGCAAAUCCAACCUUAUGCAAGCUUGACUCUUUUUUCUGCAACGCCGAGUGGGACAUAGCUUUCAACACUCAUGUCCUUAAUGCGCUUUCCUCCUCUCUCUCCGACCAUUGUCCGCUUCUUCUUGCCGAUGUUAAGGGACAAAGAAGGCCUCGAGUGUUUAAAUUUGAAAAGUUCUGGGCAUCUAUGCCCGGAUUCAACGAGGUGGUUCAAAAGGCGUGGAACGAGAGGGUCGACCACACUGAGCCAUACCUCAUUCUUUACCACAAGCUCAAGAAGACGGCUCUCCGCCUCUCUGAAUGGAGUAGAGGUCUUUUCUCCAAGGCUAAAAUUCACCACUAG